GACGAACCACACAAACGUUAUUCGGAAUUACUGGGCUUAAAGGGUGCGUAGGCUGUGCAGAAAGUUAGGUGUGAAAUCCCCCGGCUCGACCGGGGAAUUGCGCUUAAAACUACUGUGCUAGAGGAAGACAGAGGUGAGCGGAACUUCGGGUGGAGCGGUGAAAUGCGUUGAUAUCCGAAGGAACACCGGUGGCGAAAGCGGCUCACUGGGUCUUUUCUGACGCUGAUGCACGAAAGCUAGGGGAGCAAACGGG
RNAcentral lists this ribosomal RNA (253 nucleotides) under uncultured bacterium. Its description in RNAcentral is "partial 16S ribosomal RNA". It matches the Rfam family "Bacterial small subunit ribosomal RNA", at positions 524 to 776 of the family's 1533-position model. The record is from RNAcentral.